GAUGAACGCUGGCGGCGUGCCUAAUACAUGCAAGUCGAGCGAACGGACGAGACGCUUGCUUCUCUGAUGUUAGCGGCGGACGGGUGAGUAACACGUGGAUAACCUACCUAUAAGACUGGGAUAACUUCGGGAAACCGUCGCUAAUACCGGAUAAUAUUUUGAACCGCAUGGUUCAAAAGUGAAAGACGGUCUUGCUGUCACUUAUAGAUGGAUCCGCGCUGCAUUAGCUAGUUGGUACGGUAACGGCUUACCAAGGCAACGAUGCAUAGCCGACCUGUGAGGGUGAUCGGCCACACUGGAACUGAGACACGGUCCAGACUCCUACGGGAGGCAGCAGUAGGGAAUCUGCCGCAAUGGGCGAAAGCCUGACGGAGCAACGGCGCGUGAGUGAUGAAGGUCUUCGGAGCGUAAAACUCUGUUAUUAGUGAAGAACAUAUGUGUAAGGAACUGUGCACAGCUUGACGGUACCUAAUCAGAAAGCCACGGCUAACUACGUG
This 497-nucleotide ribosomal RNA is filed under the name uncultured bacterium. RNAcentral's name for it is "partial 16S ribosomal RNA". It matches the Rfam family "Bacterial small subunit ribosomal RNA", at positions 28 to 507 of the family's 1533-position model. The record is from RNAcentral.